UACGUAGGGUGCGAGCGUUGUCCGGAAUUAUUGGGCGUAAAGAGCUUGUAGGCGGUUUGUCGCGUCUGCUGUGAAAAUCCGGGGCUCAACCCCGGACUUGCAGUGGGUACGGGCAGACUAGAGUGUGGUAGGGGAGACUGGAAUUCCUGGUGUAGCGGUGAAAUGCGCAGAUAUCAGGAGGAGCACCGAUGGCGAAGGCAGGUCUCUGGGCCACUACUGACGCUGAGAAGCGAAAGCAUGGGGAGCGAACAGGAUUAGA
RNAcentral lists this ribosomal RNA (259 nucleotides) under uncultured prokaryote. RNAcentral's name for it is "partial 16S ribosomal RNA". It matches the Rfam family "Bacterial small subunit ribosomal RNA", at positions 524 to 782 of the family's 1533-position model. The record is from RNAcentral.